AGUGAACGCUGGCGGUAGGCCUAACACAUGCAAGUCGAACGGCAGCACAGUAAGAGCUUGCUCUUACGGGUGGCGAGUGGCGGACGGGUGAGGAAUACAUCGGAAUCUACUUUUUCGUGGGGGAGGACGUAGGGAAACUUACGCUAAUACCGCAGAGGACCUACGGGUGGAAGCAGGGGAUCUUCGGACCUUGCGCGAGUGAAGGACGCGAUGUCGGAUUGGCUAGUUGGCGGGGUAAAGGCCCACCAAGGCGACGAUCCGUAGCUGGUCUGAGAGGAUGAUCAGCCACACUGGAACUGAGACACGGUCCAGACUCCUACGGGAGGCAGCAGUGGGGAAUAUUGGACAAUGGGCGAAAGCCUGAUCCAGCCAUACCGCGUGGGUGAAGAAGGCCUUCGGGUUGUAAAGCCCUUUUGUUGGGAAAGAAAAGCAGCAGGUUAAUACCCUGCUGUUCUGACGGUACCAACAGAAUAAGCACCGGCUAACUUCGUG
This 492-nucleotide ribosomal RNA is filed under the name uncultured bacterium. RNAcentral describes it as "partial 16S ribosomal RNA". It matches the Rfam family "Bacterial small subunit ribosomal RNA", at positions 29 to 507 of the family's 1533-position model. The record is from RNAcentral.